GUGCCAGCAGCCGCGGUAAGACGGAGGGGGCUAGCGUUGUUCGGAAUUACUGGGCGUAAAGGGCGUGUAGGCGGUCGCUCGUGUCGGGCGUUAAAGACCUGGGCUCAACCUGGGGGCUGCGUUCGAGACUGGGCGGCUGGAGUCCGGGAGAGGGUAGCGGAAUUCCCAGUGUAGAGGUGAAAUUCGUAGAGAUUGGGAAGAACACCGGUGGCGAAGGCGGCUACCUGGCCCUGGACUGACGCUGAGGCGCGACAGCGUGGGGAGCGAACAGGAUUAGAUACCCUGGUAGUCCACGCCGUAAACGAUGCGUGCUAGCCGUCGGGGGGUUUGCCCCUCGGUGGCGCAGCUAACGCGGUAAGCACGCCGCCUGGGGAGUACGGCCGCAAGGCUAAAACUUAAAUGAAUUGACGGGG
Molecule: ribosomal RNA, 413 nt
Filed under: uncultured prokaryote
Description: bacterial SSU rRNA
Rfam family: Bacterial small subunit ribosomal RNA
Source: RNAcentral